GCAUGUACUUCCUGCAGUGCAGUUAGAAAUGCCCAUCCGACUCUGCUUGCAAAGACAUCUGCAAUGGCAGUUCACAUGGCUCAGAUAGCUCACUUCUGCAGAGAGCUGAAUUUAAGUGGGACAGGGUAGCAAGAAUAAUUACUUUGACAAUCAUUUUGCCACCUGAUGACUGUGCUGCCUGUCCUGAGCUGAGUUCCUUUAUUUAUAGGCACAGCUGCUUAAAGACUGUUACCGGAAAGGAAUCCUGAUCCAGACGCCAAGAGAGGGUUCUUGGACUCAUGCAAGAAAGACUUCAGGACAGAGAUCAUGGAAGUUGGGCCCGACUGGAUGAGAUUUGGGGGUCUUUGGAAGUGGAGAAUGUGUUUGCCCUGGGGAAGAGAGGUGAUGUCUAGGAGACCUCUUCACUCAGGGCAAGCUCUAUGACCUGCUUUGACUCCAGAAUGUGGUAGAAGUGGCAUCACAUAAAUUGCAGAGCCUAGGCUUCAAGAGACCUUGCAACUUGCCUCUCACUGACUUGAAGUGCUCCCAUCAGAGCAUCUUGUAAGGAGCAGGUGGAGCAUGUGGACAAGCCAUCCCCACCAGCCCCUGAGACAUGUGAGAGAGGCCAGAACAGGCCAUCCGGACCCCACUGUGCUGGUGGAUGAGACAGCAGAAGGAAUAUCAACCUACCAACAGAAUCCUGAGAAAUGCUCACUCUUACUUCAAGCUGCUGCAUUUUGAUGUUAUGAAACCAUAAAUAACUUAUGAAGUCAUCUUUGCUGACUUAAAGUUUUCCAUAACUUUAUUAUAACAUAUCAAAAUUAUGAAAAAUGUGAAAAGUAGAAAACUGAUGAAUUUUGCUUCUUCAUAUGGUCUUUAAGAAUCUCAAAGGCACUGAAGUUUUUUAUCUUUUCUGUCUUAGAAUAAAAAACCUUGAAUGAAAAUCUGCUUCUUGGAAAAGCAGCAAGGUUUAUGCAGAGGCAAUCUGGUAUUUGUGUGCACUGGCAGCUGAUCAUACCCAGCAUGCACGCACUCUCAGGGCAGAGUCUGAUGCCCCACAUAAUGGGGCAUGGUAAGGACUCCCAUGUCCUUGAGAUAAAAUGAUAAGGAAAAUACACACUGCUAUUAGAAUAACAGGCCCAGCUUCUGCACAUUUUAAUUCCCAAAGUUUUCAUGAAAGACAAUGAUUUUUUGGUACCAUGUUUAACUCUACAAGAAUCAGUAGUGAAAACUAAAAAUGAUACUUUGUGAAAGUUCAUUAAUUUUGUUUUCAGCCAGUGGUGGCCUUGGUCAGAUAGAAUCAAAUCUAUGAUACUUUUUAUCAGAAAUGCUUAUACUGUGUACAAACCCAAAGUGAUGGCUUUCAAAGAUUGAAUUUGAUUAUUUUCUGUAUGGUGCAGAUGAAAAAUUACUACACAGGAGAAGGUGGGUUGGAGGUGCUCACGAGUAACCAGGAAACAGUCUGAAGUUUUUCUGAUACUUCUCCUUGGUCCAACCAAAUGUGAGAUAUAAACACAAACUUGGGA
Homo sapiens (human) is the source of this 1505-nucleotide long non-coding RNA. Lineage: Eukaryota; Metazoa; Chordata; Mammalia; Primates; Hominidae. The record is from Ensembl.